Molecule: non-coding RNA, 379 nt
Organism: Monodelphis domestica (gray short-tailed opossum)
Lineage: Eukaryota; Metazoa; Chordata; Mammalia; Didelphimorphia; Didelphidae
Source: RefSeq, a predicted model, not a curated record
CCCCGCGCGCUGCAGUCCUGUGUACGCCAGUCUCCAUGGCAAUCGGCGCAGAUCUGGCCAGUCCUGGCUCCCGCAGGAAGGAGGGAGGGAGUGGAGCCCCAGCCCGGAACUUCGCUACGCUCAGGAUCCUUCUAGGGCUCUUUCUUCACUUGUCCAGGACCCCAGCCCACUCAGGAUGGAAGCUACCUCCACUCUCCCCAUCUCUGUAGUCCCAGAAAAGAAUACUGGCAACACACACUAAGAUUCAAGGCUGUCGAGAAUGAACCAGUGAUGGAAAGUAGAGUAUUUCGGGAAUUUAACUGCUCCCUUGGGACCCUCAGGUCUAUUAAUAAUCUGACCAUAUAAGCUUAGGAAAUAAAGGUCUUGUGAUACACACACA